Molecule: ribosomal RNA, 253 nt
Filed under: uncultured bacterium
Lineage: Bacteria
Description: partial 16S ribosomal RNA
Rfam family: Bacterial small subunit ribosomal RNA
Source: RNAcentral
UACGUAGGGUGCGAGCGUUGUCCGGAAUUAUUGGGCGUAAAGAGCUUGUAGGCGGUUUGUCGCGUCUGCCGUGAAAUUUCGAGGCUCAACCUCGAACUUGCGGUGGGUACGGGCAGACUAGAGUGUGGUAGGGGAGACUGGAAUUCCUGGUGUAGCGGUGAAAUGCGCAGAUAUCAGGAGGAACACCGAUGGCGAAGGCAGGUCUCUGGGCCACUACUGACGCUCAUGCACGAAAGCGUGGGGAGCAAACAGG